GGGCCUAUAGUACAGUGGUAGUACACCGCAUUCGCAUUGCGGGGGCGGCAGUCCGAUUCUGCCUAGGUCCA
Molecule: transfer RNA, 71 nt
Filed under: Candidatus Magasanikbacteria bacterium RIFOXYB2_FULL_38_10
Lineage: Bacteria; Candidatus Magasanikiibacteriota
Description: tRNA-Ala
Rfam family: tRNA
About the family: Transfer RNA (tRNA) molecules are approximately 80 nucleotides in length. Their secondary structure includes four short double-helical elements and three loops (D, anti-codon, and T loops).
Source: RNAcentral